This 429-nucleotide ribosomal RNA is filed under the name Chloroflexota bacterium. Its description in RNAcentral is "Chloroflexi bacterium partial 16S ribosomal RNA". It matches the Rfam family "Bacterial small subunit ribosomal RNA", at positions 355 to 776 of the family's 1533-position model. The record is from RNAcentral. Lineage: Bacteria; Bacillati; Chloroflexota.
UGGGGAAUAUUGCACAAUGGGCGCAAGCCUGAUGCAGCCAUGCCGCGUGUGUGAAGAAGGCCUUCGGGUUGUAAAGCACUUUCAGCGGGGAGGAAGGCGAUAAGGUUAAUAACCUUGUCGAUUGACGUUACCCGCAGAAGAAGCACCGGCUAACUCCGUGCCAGCAGCCGCGGUAAUACGGAGGGUGCAAGCGUUAAUCGGAAUUACUGGGCGUAAAGCGCACGCAGGCGGUCUGUCAAGUCGGAUGUGAAAUCCCCGGGCUCAACCUGGGAACUGCAUUCGAAACUGGCAGGCUAGAGUCUUGUAGAGGGGGGUAGAAGUCCAGGUGUAGCGGUGAAAUGCGUAGAGAUCUGGAGGAAUACCGGUGGCGAAGGCGGCCCCCUGGACAAAGACUGACGCUCAGGUGCGAAAGCGUGGGGAGCAAACAGG